Long non-coding RNA from Bos taurus (domestic cattle), 598 nucleotides. NCBI's taxonomy places the organism in Eukaryota, Metazoa, Chordata, Mammalia, Artiodactyla, Bovidae. The record is from Ensembl.
CAGAAGUUCACAAAGCUUAAGAACAUCUUCCUCAUUCAGGCUGAAGCUGCAGUAUGACUCCAUGGGGUUCGUCGCUUCCAAGUCCCGGAGAGAAAAUCCUUAACAAGUGGCGCCACGAACAGGGGCUUGAAAGGAAGGCUGAACAAAGCGACUAGCCCUGCAGAAAGAGGAUUCAGAUGUCUCUACUCAAGACUCUGUACCUCCCACGAUGGAGUCCAACUAGCAGCUGCCAUGCUUAAAUUAAAAACAAAAGGAGGAUAGUUGGGAAGCCCAGUACAAAAUAGCCGGUUGGAGGAAAUCCUUGGGAAAAUGGCGAAGGGCCAGAAAUACCCCAGCUUGGUGUGCUUGGGCAGAAAAACAUCUCCUGCCUUUGGUUAUGCCUGGCGCCAAGAUUUAAUAAUAAAUAUUAAGGAUGUUGCUUGAGAAAACGGGUUAUGGGAUAAGUACAUGGGUCACUUAGAGCACACUGUCCUUGAAAUAUUUUUACUGACUAGGUGUUAACCCCAUAUGCACUCUGCUGGCUGUAUACUCUAAGCUCUUCGUUCCUACUUCUAUAAAAAAGGCUUGACUGCAGAAAUAAACUUGUCAGUCCUUGCAA